Molecule: ribosomal RNA, 253 nt
Filed under: uncultured bacterium
Lineage: Bacteria
Description: partial 16S ribosomal RNA
Rfam family: Bacterial small subunit ribosomal RNA
Source: RNAcentral
UACGUAGGGUGCAAGCGUUGUCCGGAAUUAUUGGGCGUAAAGAGCUCGUAGGCGGUUUGUCGCGUCGGCUGUGAAAACUCGGGGCUCAACCCCGAGCCUGCAGUCGAUACGGGCAAACUAGAGUGCUGUAGGGGAGACUGGAAUUCCUGGUGUAGCGGUGAAAUGCGCAGAUAUCAGGAGGAACACCGGUGGCGAAGGCGGGUCUCUGGGCAGUUCCUGACACUGAGACACGAAGGCCAGGGGAGCAAACGGG